UGUCGAUCCAGGCAUGCCUAGGCUAAACAUCAGAAAACGGUGGCUUUAAGAUUUUUGCAGUUUGCCAGCGGUGCUAUCAGAGCAGGACUUUGCCGGAGAAGCCCCACUCAGCAUGAUGAGCAGGAGGACCCACAUACACAGUAGGGUUGGCCCACUACAUUUGAACGCCGACUCUCUUCGCCAUCUCUUCGCCUACUGAAGACCUUCCUCUUUCAACAAACCUUUUAAGCAAAGACCUUAUCCCAGUCU
Molecule: long non-coding RNA, 249 nt
Organism: Rhineura floridana
Lineage: Eukaryota; Metazoa; Chordata; Lepidosauria; Squamata; Rhineuridae
Exons: 3
Source: RefSeq, a predicted model, not a curated record